RNAcentral lists this unclassified non-coding RNA (202 nucleotides) under Hevea brasiliensis (rubber tree). Lineage: Eukaryota; Viridiplantae; Streptophyta; Magnoliopsida; Malpighiales; Euphorbiaceae. The record is from RNAcentral.
AAUUGCUGCUUCUUCAGGCUUUGAGUCAGCAUCAGCGAUUAUAGGUUUCAGCUGCAACCCUUUCUUGAACCAAGAAUUCUCCAUUAUCUUAGAAAUGGAAAUUCUUGUGCUAGGAUUUGGAUUUAAUAUUUUUGAUAUCAGCCUGCGAGCAUCAGGAGGGAACCAGUUAGGACAUUUGAACUCAGCCUUACCGAUCUUUCUG